RNAcentral lists this unclassified non-coding RNA (1214 nucleotides) under Hevea brasiliensis (rubber tree). Lineage: Eukaryota; Viridiplantae; Streptophyta; Magnoliopsida; Malpighiales; Euphorbiaceae. The record is from RNAcentral.
GGAGAGAGUGUGUUGUCGGCAAUGCUCUGUUGAUCUUUCAUUUUCUUGAUAUUUUGGCUACUGGGUCUCUCUCUUUAUCUGAUUUUGUGUAGUGGAUCGAAGGAUCGGGGGUUGGGUUUCUUGGUUUAUCGGAUCUUGAGAUCUGAUCUGUAAUUUGGGCAUGUUGGUUGGCGACUUAUCGGGCUGAGACUGGUAGCUGAUUGCAAAUCCGUUGUUUACAUCUAAGUGGACUGACAAUGGAUCCAGAAGGUGAUGUGAAGGGAAAGUCCUUGAAGACCUUAGGUGGUCAAGUCUGUCAGAUCUGUGGUGAUGGUGUUGGCACUACUGUGAAUGGCGAGCCAUUUGUUGCUUGCGAUGUCUGUGCCUUCCCUGUUUGUAGGCCAUGCUAUGAAUAUGAGAGGAAGGACGGGAAUCAAUCUUGCCCACAGUGCAAGACCAGAUACAAGAGACAUAAAGGAAGUCCUGCUAUUAGUGGUGAAAGUGUAGAAGAUGGUGAUGCUGAUGAUGGUGCCAGUGAUCUAAAUUACUCUUCUGAAAAUCUGAAUGAGAAGCAAAAAGUGGCAGACCGUGUGUUGAGCUGGCACGCGACUUACGGGCGGGGUGAGGAGACUGGUGCUCCAAAGUAUGAUAAGGAGGUCUCCCACAAUCAUAUUCCUCUGCUUACAAAUGGAACAGAUGUUUCUGGGGAAUUAUCUGCAGCAUCACCUGGACGCUAUUCAAUGGCAUCUCCUGGACCUGCUGGUGGUGCAAAACACAUCCAUCCACUUACAUAUUCAACAGAUGCUAACCAAUCACCUAACAUCAGGGUUGUGGACCCAGUAAGGGAGUUUGGAUCCCCUGGACUUGGCAAUGUUGCUUGGAAAGAAAGAGUUGAUGGCUGGAAAAUGAAGCAGGAUAAGAAUGUUGUGCCAAUGACCACUAGCCAGCCACCUUCGGAACGAGGAGUUGGAGAUAUUGAUGCUAGUACUGACAUUCUGGGGGAUGACUCUUUACUCAAUGAUGAGGCUAGACAACCUCUUUCAAGGAAGGUGUCUAUUCCAUCGUCUAGAAUAAAUCCUUACAGGAUGGUUAUUGUCCUCCGGCUUGUCAUUCUUUGUAUUUUCUUGCACUAUCGGAUAAUGAAUCCAGUGCCCAAUGCAAUUCCGUUAUGGUUGUUAUCUGUGAUAUGCGAGAUUUGGUUUGCAUUUUCUUGGAUUUUGGAUCAGUUCCCUAAG